Molecule: transfer RNA, 55 nt
Filed under: Hirondellea gigas
Lineage: Eukaryota; Metazoa; Arthropoda; Malacostraca; Amphipoda; Lysianassidae
Description: tRNA-Val
Source: RNAcentral
UAAGAAUGAUGAAGUUUCAGUUACGUUGAAAUAAACCAAAUAAAUGGCAUUUUUA